AUGACGGGUGUGAUGCCAAGGGUGCUUAGAGAAAUACUACUUGGUUUUGGGUCGAGAGGAAAAGCAGGAAAGCCCACGUAUGCCAGACCAGGUACCGACGUCGAAAGCCAAGUCGGUGUCGGUGGUAAUGCUGUUUUAGAAGUCAAUGUCAGUAACAACAACAACAAUACUUCAUCGUCUCGGCAAAACCAACACCACAAGUUGCAUCUUGCCCUUCUGUCCCUCUGUGUGACGGCAUGUGAGAAAUUACACCUCGAUGUCAAUGCAGUUUCGCCGGGAGAAGGAGACCAAGGAGAUCAAGGAGAAGGUGUCGCAUUCAGGUUUGCGACGAAGUUGGUACAGUUAAACAGGGAUCUCAUGACCGCCGACAGCCUGACAGUGAUGAAGCUUACGACCAGAAUGGUGAUAGCAACCGUGAAGAAACACAUGGUGGAUGGUCGCAGCACCAUCGCCAAACGAGCUGACCUGCAGAGCCUCAUGGAUUUGCUCUCCAGCGUUUCAGAGGACAUGCUGGAUCUUGAGAGCUGCAUGGUUUUUGCCACUGGAACAAGGACAACGACAAUUCCUGACAACACUGAAACCCUCGAUUCCAUCGUUAAACUGGCAUCGAAACUCCACGGCCAAAUUAGGGGCCAAGACUCUGAAAUAGAGCUAGCUAGC
RNAcentral lists this ribosomal RNA (660 nucleotides) under Triticum aestivum (bread wheat). Its description in RNAcentral is "partial small subunit ribosomal RNA". Lineage: Eukaryota; Viridiplantae; Streptophyta; Magnoliopsida; Poales; Poaceae. The record is from RNAcentral.